Molecule: long non-coding RNA, 1251 nt
Organism: Oncorhynchus tshawytscha (Chinook salmon)
Lineage: Eukaryota; Metazoa; Chordata; Actinopteri; Salmoniformes; Salmonidae
Source: Ensembl
CUCUUAGAUCUGGGACCAGAGGACAACGGGAUGUGAUCGGCAGGCAGCACACUUCCUCUCCAGAUUUGUAAUACAUUUGUGGUGUAUUGACCUGAUGAAAGGUGAACUCCUCUCCCAGUGUCUGGUGGAAAGCAGACUGAACCAGGUUUUCCUCUAGGAUUCUUCCUGUGUUUACCUCCAGUCUGUUUAUUUUUUAUCCUGAAAAACUCCCCAGUCCUUAACGAUUACAAGCAUACCCAUAACAUGAUGCAGCCACCAUUAUGUUUGAAACUAUGAAGAUGGUACUCAGUAAUGUGUUGUAUUGGAUUUCCCUAAAUGUAACACUUUGUAUUCAGGACAAAAAAAUAUUUUUUUGCCACAUUUUUUUGCAGUGUUACUUUAGUACCUUGUUGCAAACAAGGAAUAUUUGUUAUCCUGUACAGACUUCCUUCUUUUCACUCUGUCAUUUAGGUUAGUAUUGUGGGGUAACUACAAUGUUGUUGAGCCAUCCUCAGUUUUCUCCUAUCACAGCCAUUAAACUCUGUUUUAAAGUCACCAUUGGCCUCAUGGUGAAAUCCGUGAGAGGUUUCCUUCCUCUCUGGCAACUGAGUUAGGAAGGACGCCUGUAUCUUUGUAGUGACUGGGUGUAUUGAUGCACCAUCCAAAGUGUAAUUAAUAACUUCACCAUGAUCAAAGGGAUAUUCAAUGUCUGCUUUUUAAAAUUUGUACCCAUCUACCAAUAGGUGACCUUCUUUGUGAGGAUUGGAAAAACUCCCUGGUCUUUGUGGUUGAAUCCGUGUUUGAAAUUCACUGCUCGACUGAAGGACCUUACAAUGAUCUGUAUGUGUGGGGUACGGAGAUGAGGUAGUCAUUCAAAAAUCAUGUUAAACACUUUUAGUGAACACAGACUGAGUCCAUUAAACAUUAUUAUGUGACUUGUUAAAGCACGUUUUUACUCCUGAACUUAUUUCGGCUCCUUUCCGUAACAAAGGAGUUUUCAUUUUUUUAUUACAUUUAUAAAAGAAACGGCUUCAUAUUUUAUUUAACCUUUUUUUUUAUUGAAAUAGGCAAAUUAAAUUAAGAACAAAUUGUUAUUUUACAUUGACGCCCCAAACCCUUCCCAAACCCGUCAAUUGUGCGCCGACCUAUGGGACUCCCGAUCACGGCCGGGUGUCACACAGCCCGUGUGCUGAAUAAUUUUGCACGCCCAAUUUUUCAGUUUUUGAUUUGUUAAGAAAGUUUGAAAUAUCCAAUAAAUGUCGUUCCACUUCA